Molecule: ribosomal RNA, 490 nt
Filed under: uncultured bacterium
Lineage: Bacteria
Description: partial 16S ribosomal RNA
Rfam family: Bacterial small subunit ribosomal RNA
Source: RNAcentral
GAUGAACGCUAGCGAUAGGCUUAACACAUGCAAGUCGAGGGGCAGCAUGGUCUUAGCUUGCUAAGACUGAUGGCGACCGGCGCACGGGUGCGUAACGCGUAUGCAACUUGCCUCACAGAGGGGGAUAACCCGUCGAAAGACGGACUAAUACCGCGUACACUUGGGAUAGGGCAUCCUGACCCAAGGAAAUGAAAUUCGCUGUGAGAUAGGCAUGCGUCCCAUUAGCUAGUUGGUGAGGUAACGGCUCACCAAGGCGACGAUGGGUAGGGGAACUGAGAGGUUGAACCCCCACACUGGUACUGAGACACGGACCAGACUCCUACGGGAGGCAGCAGUGAGGAAUAUUGGGCAAUGGGCGAGAGCCUGAACCAGCCAAGUCGCGUGAAGGAUGACUGUCUUAUGGAUUGUAAACUUCUUUUAUACGGGAAUAACAAGAGUCACGUGUGGCUCCCUGCAUGUACCGUAUGAAUAAGCAUCGGCUAACUCCGUG